RNAcentral lists this unclassified non-coding RNA (389 nucleotides) under Rhodotorula toruloides. The record is from RNAcentral. Lineage: Eukaryota; Fungi; Basidiomycota; Microbotryomycetes; Sporidiobolales; Sporidiobolaceae.
AUCACUUGCCGAUAUGCGUGACAAGUGGCGCAAGAAGCGCGUCCGUCGUCUCAAACGCAAGCGCAGAAAGAUGCGCGCUCGCUCGAAGUAAACGACUCGCCCCGUAACACCGGCCGACUCGUCUCUACCUCUCGAACGAUGCACCCCAACCUCAUCCGCAUAACCUCCCUCUCCUCCAACUGACCUCAAACAAAAGGCGUCUCGACUCCCCUCUACUCUCCCAAUACUCGCUCUCGAUUCUCGACGGCACUUUCAAGAUCCGGCGCACGGCAAUCACCUUUUUCUCGACUCGGUUUUACAGAGGUGGGAAUGGGACGGUUGUAGGCGGUGGAUCUUGGGUUGCUUUCGGUUGUUCAGGGCAGGUGGAAGGAGGGCAAAGGAAGUUUCGG